GAUCCUGGCUCAGGAUGAACGCUAGCGGCAGGCCUAACACAUGCAAGUCGAGGGGCAGCACGGUGUAGCAAUACACUGGUGGCGACCGGCGCACGGGUGCGUAACGCGUAUGCAACCUACCCAUAACAGGGGGAUAACACUGAGAAAUUGGUACUAAUACCCCAUAACAUCGGGACCGGCAUCGGUUCUGGUUGAAAACUCCGGUGGUUAUGGAUGGGCAUGCGUUGUAUUAGCUGGUUGGUGAGGUAACGG
Molecule: ribosomal RNA, 252 nt
Filed under: uncultured bacterium
Lineage: Bacteria
Description: partial 16S ribosomal RNA
Rfam family: Bacterial small subunit ribosomal RNA
Source: RNAcentral